RNAcentral lists this unclassified non-coding RNA (38 nucleotides) under uncultured bacterium. The record is from RNAcentral.
AUUAAGACAUCGCCGCGAUUAGCCGCCUUGCCUCGGGC